GGUGAAAGGCUUGCUGCCUGAAGAAGAGCUUGCGUCUGAUUAGCUAGUUGGUGGGGUAAGAGCCUACCAAGGCGACGAUCAGUAGCUGGUCUGAGAGGAUGAUCAGCCACACUGGGACUGAGACACGGCCCAGACUCCUACGGGAGGCAGCAGUGGGGAAUUUUCCGCAAUGGGCGAAAGCCUGACGGAGCAAUACCGCGUGAGGGAGGAAGGCUCUUGGGUUGUAAACCUCUUUUCUCAGGGAAGAACAAAAUGACGGUACCUGAGGAAUAAGCAUCGGCUAACUCCGUGCCAGCAGCCGCGGUAAUACGGAGGAUGCAAGCGUUAUCCGGAAUGAUUGGGCGUAAAGGGUCCGCAGGUGGCAUUGUAAGUCUGCUGUUAAAGAGUUUGGCUCAACCAAAUAAGAGCAGUGGAAACUACAAAGCUAGAGUGUGGUCGGGGCAGAGGGAAUUCCUGGUGUAGCGGUGAAAUGCGUAGAUAUCAGGAAGAACACCGGUGG
Molecule: ribosomal RNA, 499 nt
Filed under: Dolichospermum sigmoideum 7RO28S1
Lineage: Bacteria; Bacillati; Cyanobacteriota; Cyanophyceae; Nostocales; Aphanizomenonaceae
Description: bacterial SSU rRNA
Rfam family: Bacterial small subunit ribosomal RNA
Source: RNAcentral